This 997-nucleotide long non-coding RNA is filed under the name Homo sapiens (human). RNAcentral's name for it is "HSALNT0056885". Lineage: Eukaryota; Metazoa; Chordata; Mammalia; Primates; Hominidae. The record is from RNAcentral.
CAGGAUGUACCAUGAAGUAUAUUUGGGAAGACUUCAGGAAGAUUCCAGUCAUGGCUGAAGGCAAAGCAGGAGCAGGCGUCUCACAUGGCAGGAGCCUGAGCAAGAGAGAGUGAGAGGGUGGUGCUACACACUUUUAAAGAACCAAAUCUCACAAGAACUCAGGAUUAUGAGAAGAGCACCAAGAAGAUGGUGCUAAACCAUUCAUGAGAAACCCACCCCCAUGAUUUAAUUAUCUCCCCCCAAGCCCCACCUUCAAUAUUAGGAACAACAAUCUGAUAUACAGCUUGGGCAGGGACACAGAUCCAAACCAUAUCAGUAUGUUAGAAAAACUUAAGAAAUAAUAAGAAACCAGCAAUAUUUAGGGAGUAUCAAAUCUAAUAUGUUCUCUGUUUACAUUAGCAACUUUGAAAAGUAAAGAGAAAGAGUGACAUGGUGAGAAUGGUAAAGUAAGAAAGGCUAAAAAAUAAAUCUGUCCUUCCAUAGAAGCAACAACAAUAUCUGUCAAAAUUCUCAGAAUCAACUAUUUCAGAAUACUGGACAUUAACACAAAAACUGCAGCAAUUAGGUCAAUGCUUAUUCAAGGAGAAACCAGUUAUCUCUAAGUAAGAAGAGUGAGCUUUUGGCAUUUCAAUCUACUUUGGUCUAUCUUCCAUAUUGCAAGUCAGUGAAUGGUCUUGAAGAAAACAGCCGCCAUUUCCAGUACAGGUAUUGAUUAUAGACAGCAGAACAGAUUUCAUUCACCAUACGUUUUUUAAAAAGGGUAGUUGUUUGGGCUUGCCUGGUGGUUGCAUGGAGGAAAGAAUCAAUUACUUUUAUAUUGCCUAACCCUGAUCUCUCCUUGUGCUAAGGUGGAUACCCAGGGAGAAUGUAAUGAAAACAAAGUUCUACUUUUAGCUGUAAUGUAAGCUCUGUGUAGGCAGGCAGUGAAGGGUAAGGUAGAGUUAUAAACCACUUGAAUAAAGCUAAAGGAAUGCCCCAACACACACACACACACACA